ACUUCCCCUGUCACGACACAUAACAUUUUAGUAAUAUGUUUCCAUCAACGCACUAUGAUUCUAUACAUAAUGAACAAAGACUUGUUGACAAUAGUGAAUAGUUGAAGAGUUUCUGAAAUAUUUUGAAGGUGCAGAGAAGGUGGUUGGAUGGGCUUUAAGUCCUGGAGCUGAAGCAGAUUCCACAGAUUCUAGGGUUGUUUUGUCUAUAGAGAGCAUCCAGUACGGAAUCGGAAUUCUAAAAUGCAAUCCAGAAUGAUUCCAAAAGUUCAAAGAAAUCCCUGAAGGAUGUUGCGACUGAGAAUGAGUUUGAGAAGAGACUUGUAGCUGAUGUAAUCCCUGGUGUGACUUAUGAUGAUAUUGGAGCACUUGAAAAUGUCAAAGAUACACCGGAAGACUUGGUGAUACAGCGACCUGAACUUUUUUGCAAGGGCCAACUUGCAAAGCAUGCUGGGAAAAUGAAAAAUGAAUUUGUGGUAAACUGGGAUGGGCUGCGGACAAAAGAUAAAGAACGUGUUUUGGUACUUGCUGCCACAAUUGAUGAGGCUGUGAUUAGGCACGCAGGCAAAGCAGGUUCAGCUAUCUUUUGAACAUGUGGUAAUGGACACAAAUAUUAUAAGUUAUCGUUGAUGUUUGGAUAUUGUACCACGUACUUCUCCAUAGAUUGAUGGUGAACUUGCCAGAUAUAUAUGCUACCAACAGAGCAAAGAUACUAAGAGUGAUACUAGCAAAAAAAGACUUCCAGAUGUGGAUCUCGAUUCAGUUUGCAGGAAGUGAUCUUAAGGUUAGGGUUCGGUCUUUUUCUUGAUGAAUUCUUUGUAGAACUCGGCUGCCUAUCGAUAAUAUUUCUGUUUUUCCUUUUAGAAUUUGUGUGUGACGGCAGCACAUCGACCAAUUAGAGAGAUUUUGGAAAAGGAUAAAAAGCUAAGAUACACAUUCAUUGGCACAUAAGGGUUUAACCAAUGUUUUAAAAAUCGGAUCGGCCGACGAACCGGCGUCGUUACUGGUUCACUGGUUCAACCGGUUCACUGGUCGAACCAUUGGUUGAACCGGAAUAUAUAAUAAACACAUAUAUUAUAUAUUAUUAAGAAAUUUAAUAUUUUUAUGUAUUAAAAUAGAUGAUGUUUAUUAAUUUAAGAAAAUUUAUUUCAUAAAUUAAUAUUAUAAUUAAAUACGAAUUAGGUAUUAAGUUUAGAUAAAAAUAUCCAUUGAUGUCAAUAGCUAGGGUAUAUAAAUUAAGCAUGUAAUAUAAAAAAUUUAUUUAUAGUAAAUAAUGAAUCUUAUAUGGUACUAAUAAUAAUAUAGAUGGUAAGUAGAGCAUCAUUAAAAUAUAGAGGAUGAUAAUUAUUUAUAUUAUAAUUAACAAUUAUAUUAAAGAAUAUAAAAUUAAAAUGAAUUAUUAGUUUUUUUAGAUAAAAAUUUAAUGGUUAAUGUAUAAAAAUAUUUGAUGUUCAAAUUGUUCAAUGAGCUCAUGUGGUGGAGUGGUAGAGGUCUUCUUAUGUAGAAGAGAGGUCAUGAGUUCAACCCCUACCAACAACAAAUUUUAAAAAUUUUUAAACAAAACAAUAUUAAACCGGUUUCCGAUUCACGGUCCAAUCGGUCCGGCCGGCCGGUUCUACCGGUUCACAGCGGUUCAAUGCAUUGGUGGUUUAAAGGAGUGAACCGGACCGGACUACCUACCGGUUCGCGGUCCGACCGGUCGAACCGGCCGGUCCGGUCCGGUUUUUAAAACAUUGGGUUUAAUAUACUAAGGGUUUUGUUCUUGAUACUAGUGUAUGUACUUUUUCUUUUUUAGCCUGUCCCACAAGAGUAUACACUUUCCAAUUUUUGUAAACUCUAUUCUCUCUAAUAAGGUGAGACUCAUUCUCCCCUAACAAUACUUUAAUUACUUUUUCUUUCUACCUCUUUCUUACUUAAACAAUUAUGCAUUAAAAUCUGUGACCAACUAAAAGUGCAUACUCCUAUGAGACGGAGAGAGUAUCAAUUAUUUGAGGGAAUAAGUUAACAACUAUCCUAUUUAUGUACACAACCAGUUUCCAAAUGCAGAUUGCCCAUGCUAGCCAUACCAAAAUUUCUGUGUGUAUAUAUGUUGUCGAAAAAGUUUAACCAAAGUAGAUAUGUUGGAUUAUUAACCAUUCCCAUUUCUGGAAAUUCUACUGUCGAGUUAUAAUUAGUCUAUAACAAGAUCAAGAAGCUGCUCUUGCUGAAGGUAGACCUCCACCAGCAUUGAGUGAGAGCACUGAUAUACGCUCACUUAAUACAGAAGACUUCAAAUUUGCACAUGAGCGGGUUUGUGCAAGUGUCGAUAAACAUGACCGAGCUUCUUCAGUGGAAUGAGCUUUAUGAAUUAUGGUGAAGGAAGCAAUCCCUCAGCUACUUCAUGUGAUUACAACUGACAUUUGUAGAAAUGGCGCUUCUCUCUUCUUCAACUGUAUCAUCUCUCUCAACCGAACGAUUUUUUAUUCUGGAUUUGGUGUGGAAGCCACAUCAAUUGUAUACCUUGUACAUUGUGAUAGUUUUUUGUUGAGAUGUGAAAGGUUAGAAUAGCCUUGUUGUAAGUUAAAAUUAGUGGCGGCUCGCUCCGCCUUUGUUUUGUC
This is an RNA transcript of Salvia hispanica, 2594 nucleotides long. It is a transcript of the gene named peroxisomal ATPase PEX6-like, with no coding region annotated. NCBI's taxonomy places the organism in Eukaryota, Viridiplantae, Streptophyta, Magnoliopsida, Lamiales, Lamiaceae. The record is from RefSeq and is a predicted model, not a curated record.